This is an RNA transcript of Asparagus officinalis (garden asparagus), 1503 nucleotides long. It is a transcript of the gene named ethylene-responsive transcription factor RAP2-2-like, with no coding region annotated. Lineage: Eukaryota; Viridiplantae; Streptophyta; Magnoliopsida; Asparagales; Asparagaceae. The record is from RefSeq and is a predicted model, not a curated record. The transcript has 4 exons.
CCUCCUACCUCGAUGAAGAAACCGAAGCCUUCUACUUUAUUCAAUAAAUUUCUCUUCAUUUCCGCCCAAAAAAAAUCAAAAGAAAAAGAAAACAAGUUGAGAUCUUUGACUGCCAACUCAAUCAAAUAUGUGUGGAGGAGCAAUAAUCUCCGAUUUCAUACCCUCAUCGAGAUCAAUAAAGCUGACUGCUGAUUACUUAUGGCCUAGUCUUGAGAAGAGCAAGAAGAGUAGCAGCAGAUUUGAUACCGAGGAUGAUUUUGAAGCUGACUUCAAUGAGUUCAAAGAUGAGGAGUCUGAGGAGGAACAAUCUGAGGUGAUUGAUGUCAAGCCCUUUCAGUUUCGGGCUAAAUCUAGCUUAUCUCGAGAUGGAUCAACUGCUAAGAAAUCUAUAAAUCUCGAUGAACCAGCGAACCACUCUUCGAAGAGAAAGCGCAAGAACCAAUACCGAGGAAUUCGCCAGCGUCCGUGGGGAAAAUGGGCAGCUGAGAUCAGAGACCCUCGCAAAGGAGUCAGAGUCUGGCUGGGGACGUUCAACACAGCCGAAGAAGCUGCAAGAGCCUACGAUGCUGAAGCUCGUAGGAUCCGUGGCAAGAAAGCCAAGGUCAACUUUCCUGAGGAAGCAUCAAAGAAACCCAUUAAACCAAGAUCCUUAGAAAACUCCAAUCCUAGCCCUAACAUGGACUUUGGGUAUCUGAAUACCCCUGAGCUUGAUGUAUACUCAGGUUUCGAUUUCUUCGAAGAGAAGGUUCCAGUUGUUUUGCCUUCAGAAGCUAAUGAAUUAGCUGUCGGGGAUAAUAAUGCUACUGCAAUGGAGCUCUCUGAAGAGCUUAAUGCCUUUGAAUCAUACAUGAAGUUCCUGCAGGUUCCUUAUCUUGAGGGGAGUUCAGACGAGUCAGUCGACAAUCUCCUCAACAAUGAAGUUGACAAUCUCCUCAACGAUGAAGUGUCUCAGGAUGAGAUGGGUCUGUGGAGCUUUGAGGAUUUGCCAAUGGAGGGCAGCGUGUACUGAGACAUCGAAGUCUUGGGUUUUAUGUAUAUAUAGUCUCAAUGAGAACGAGGAGAACCAGAGAGGCCUCGGCCUGAACGUGAUGUAAUGGGAACUCUAUAUAUAUAUAGUACUUCGGUGCUGUGAAGAACAAGAUUAUAAGCUUGGGUUCAUGGUAGUCUCAUUGUUGUUGGAUAAAAUGUUGGAGUAAAUGGGGAUGUGGUGUAGUUUCUUGGAUCAGUAUAGCUAUGACGAAGGACGAUAAACAUAUAUAUAACUACGAAGAAGGAUGAUGGAUGUAACUAUGAAGAUAUAGCUAUGUAUGAGGACAAUGAAUAUGUUUAUGAAGAAUUGUGAUGAACGAUGAACAAGAACGAUGAAUAUAACCAUGAAGAAUGAUGAUGGACGAUGGAUGUAGCUAUGAACACGGACAACAUGAACGUGGUUCAGUCAAAUAUAGCCUGGUUUGUCGAAUAACAUGAAGUUGAUAAAUACCAAGUUUGAGAGGAUUAUAUGCA